Small nucleolar RNA from Hibiscus syriacus, 107 nucleotides. The record is from RefSeq and is a predicted model, not a curated record. NCBI's taxonomy places the organism in Eukaryota, Viridiplantae, Streptophyta, Magnoliopsida, Malvales, Malvaceae.
AAACCAUGCACUGGACAUUUGCGCAAUAAAUCUUUAAAUUACUCCCAAACUUCAUACAAACUCCUAUCCUCCAAUGUUUUGAAAUAUGUGAUGUCAUUCCUUAGCUU